GGCUGGGUGCCCCCCAACCCAGAGAGGAGGGGGUGGGGCCAGGGCUCAGGACCCACCGAGACAGCAGACCCCUUCCCCUGGAGCCUGCAGGCAGGAGGGACUGGGAGCAGGGAGGACGUCACUCCAGCCCCCGCAGGUGCCCAGGACUGAGGGACAGAACAAGACCAGCUGGGCUGCUGCAGGCCUCCAGAGCUCAGCUGUCCUCCGCCCACGUUCCCUUACCCACCUUGUCCUGAAGGACAGGGACCAGCAGAGGAGACCUGGCCUGGGGGCCCAGCAGCAUUGCAGCCCUCGCCCCAGGAUGCCCUUACCCUCCUGCAGCUUAAGCCCCAGCAAGAUCUGGCCUUUCCACUCUCCUGGCUCACGGUCACCUGGCAUUAGCAGGUGCGGCUGGAGCUGCCCUGGCUGGUUCCUGAAGUCUCCUGUCUGCGAUGGGCGCUUCCCUGGGGUUCUCCUGCAGAAGCCGUCACUCUAAGUGGCCUCCACGAUUUCAGGCCUGCGUUCUUCCCAGCCUCCUGCGUGGGCUGUGAGAGCCCUCUGGCAGUUGGAGAGGUGGUCAGGGUUUCCUGGACACCCUCUGCCUGCCUGGUCCCGCCAGAGUCUGCACCAGGAUCAGGAGUUUGCUGCCCGCCCCUCCUGGUCUCUGCAGGAGCUACAGCCUCCUGGGCCACGACUGCCCAGAGUCUCGCCUUCCAGGGCUCUUGCACUGCUAUGCUGGGGACCCCUGGGGACCUCCACCUUGCUGGGCUCCAUGGGAGACUGUCCUCAAGUCCACAGACACCCUUUCCUGGUCCCUGCUUCUGAGUCACCUCAAGCGCUCUGUGUGACGUGCUCUGCACCAAGGAGAGUUGAUCCUGGCUGUCCAGCUGUGUGCACUGUGGACGUGAGAGCCUGCCUACCUACCCACAGGCAGAGCGCAGAGAUCCUGGUGAUGCUCCAAGGGACAGACGCCCGUGAUGAGCAGAGGUGGCUGAGAGAAGAUGGUAAUUGGAGAGGACAAGAGCCUUGCCCAGGCCUCGAGCUGGACACAUGGGCCAGAACAGAGACGCAGACCCCCAAGGCUCAGGACACACAGCCAAGUCCGUCCACCAUCGACAUCGGCCCCCCGCACUCGACACUCUGAAUGGCUCGCCAGCGUCUGGAGGGAGAGCCACGGGCCCAGCACCCAAGGGUCCCCCCACAGCGCGAGGACACACUGCACACUACGCACCAUGUCCUCGCAGGAGGAGCACUGCGCACUGGGGCGGGGGGGCUACAGAGUUUUAAGUCAAUAGGCUCCUUUCUAGAAGCCGGGGGCCGAUCGCUGCCUGGGAUUGCUUUGGUCCCGAGGGUGGAGAAGAGUGAUGUGUCAAUAGUGUAUCACAUUAUACUUGUUUCCUAAUGUGUUUAGUAGUAAAUUAUAUAGUGCAAUGGGAAUGAUGUAUUUAUAACUGUCAAUGUCACAAAUCAAUAUGAAUUGCAUACUUACAUAAUCUAGGUCUAUAUUAACAUAACUUACAAAUACAAUUUGUUUCCAAACAUGAAGUUCUGUUUGUAAACACAGAUCCUUCUCAGGUCACGGUGGGAUGGCAUUCCGAUUAACCAGUGUGUUAGGGUUCAGAUGCGAGGUGUCCCCCAGAAGCUCACGUGCGACACAAUGCAAGGAUCAGAGGAGAAAU
This 1658-nucleotide long non-coding RNA is filed under the name Ictidomys tridecemlineatus (thirteen-lined ground squirrel). Its description in RNAcentral is "lncRNA (ENSSTOG00000031753.1)". The record is from RNAcentral. Lineage: Eukaryota; Metazoa; Chordata; Mammalia; Rodentia; Sciuridae.